This 443-nucleotide ribosomal RNA is filed under the name uncultured bacterium. Its description in RNAcentral is "partial 16S ribosomal RNA". It matches the Rfam family "Bacterial small subunit ribosomal RNA", at positions 338 to 795 of the family's 1533-position model. The record is from RNAcentral.
CCUACGGGAGGCAGCAGUGGGGAAUAUUGGGCAAUGGAGGAAACUCUGACCCAGCAACGCCGCGUGAAUGAUGAAGGUCUUCGGAUUGUAAAGUUCUUUUCUAAGGGAAGAAGAAAGUGACGGUACCUUAGGAAUAAGCCUCGGCUAACUCCGUGCCAGCAGCCGCGGUAAUACGUAGGAGGCAAGCGUUAUCCGGAAGGACUGGGCGGAAAGGGGGCGUAGGUGGUUUGACAAGUUGGUAGCGUAACUCCGGGGCUCAACCUCGGCACUACUACCAAAACUGUCGGACUUGAGUGCAGGAGGGGCAAAUGGAAUUCCUAGUGUAGCGGUGGAAUGCGUAGAUAUUAGGAGGAACACCAGUGGCGAAGGCGAUUUGCUGGACUGUAACUGACACUGAGGCACGAAAGCGUGGGGAGCAAACAGGAUUAGAUACCCUGGUAGUC